AAAGUUUUAUUUUGACUUGAAAUUUUAAUUUAUCAUUAUUUUAUAUGUGUUUUUUAGAUUAAAAAUUUUAUUUGCAGUAUUUAAUAUUAAAUAAUUAUUUAAGUAAGUUUUAGUAAUUGAUUAAAGAACUAAUAAAAUUUGUGCCAGCAAUUGCGGUUAUACAAAUGGUUUAAUUAAAAUUUAUUGGUUAAUAAUUAAUUUUGUUUAUUAGAAUUUAAAAUUAAAAUUUUAAGGUGAAAUUUAAAUUUUAAUUUAUUUUCUUUUUUUUGAUUUGAGGUUAUUAAAGUUAGUAUUAAACUAGGAUUAGAUACCCUAUUAUUUUAACUGUAAAAUUUUAUACUAGAUUAGUAUUAGUUAUUUUCUUGAAAAUUAAAAAAUUUGGCGGUAUCUUAGUCUAUUCAGAGGAACCUGUCCUGUAAUUGAUAAUCCACGAUUAGUUUUACUUUUCUUUUUCUUGUAUAUCGUUGUUUUUGAAUAUUUUAUAAGAAUUUAAAUUUUCAAUAAGUAUAUAUUAGUUUAUUUCAGAUCAAGGUGCAGAUUAUAGGAAAGAAGAGAUGGGUUACAAUAAAAUUAUUUUUUGUUUAAUAUUUUAAAUAGUUUUAUUAAAUUGGAUUUGAUAGUAAUAUUUUAUAUAUUUGAUAUGUGAUUUUAGCUCUAAGAUGUGUACAUAUUGCCCGUCGCUCUCAUUAUUUUGAGAUAAGUCGUAACAAAGUAGAUUUACUGGAAAGUGUAUCUAGGAUUAAUAAU
Molecule: non-coding RNA, 747 nt
Filed under: Sclerotia fui
Lineage: Eukaryota; Metazoa; Arthropoda; Insecta; Coleoptera; Lampyridae
Source: RNAcentral